RNAcentral lists this ribosomal RNA (477 nucleotides) under uncultured bacterium. RNAcentral describes it as "partial 16S ribosomal RNA". It matches the Rfam family "Bacterial small subunit ribosomal RNA", at positions 28 to 522 of the family's 1533-position model. The record is from RNAcentral.
GACGAACGCUGGCGGCGUGCUUAACACAUGCAAGUCGAACGGUAAGGCCCUUCGGGGUACACGAGUGGCGAACGGGUGAGUAACACGUGGGUGAUCUGCCCUGCACUUCGGGAUAAGCCUGGGAAACUGGGUCUAAUACCGGAUAGGACCACUGCCUGCAUGGGUGGUGGUGGAAAGCUUUUGCGGUGUGGGAUGGGCCCGCGGCCUAUCAGCUUGUUGGUGGGGUGAUGGCCUACCAAGGCGACGACGGGUAGCCGGCCUGAGAGGGUGACCGGCCACACUGGGACUGAGAUACGGCCCAGAAUCCUACGGGAGGCAGCAGUGGGGAAUAUUGCACAAUGGGCGCAAGCCUGAUGCAGCGACGCCGCGUGAGGGAUGACGGCCUUCGGGUUGUAAACCUCUUUCAGCUAUGACGAAGCGCAAGUGACGGUAGUAGCAGAAGAAGGACCGGCCAACUACGUGCCAGCCGCCGCGUAA